CUCCUACGGGUGGCUGCAGUAAGGAAUAUUGGUCAAUGGACGCAAGUCUGAACCAGCCAUGCCGCGUGGAGGAUGAAGGCCCUCUGGGUUGUAAACUUCUUUUAUCUGGGACGAAAACGGGACUUUCUAGUUCAACUGACGGUACCAGAGGAAUAAGCACCGGCUAACUCCGUGCCAGCAGCCGCGGUAAUACGGAGGGUGCAAGCGUUAUCCGGAUUCACUGGGUUUAAAGGGUGCGUAGGUGGGUUGGUAAGUCAGUGGUGAAAUCUCCGAGCUUAACUUGGAAACUGCCAUUGAUACUAUCAGUCUUGAAUACCGUGGAGGUCAGCGGAAUAUGUCAUGUAGCGGUGAAAUGCUUAGAUAUGACAUAGAACACCAAUUGCGAAGGCAGCUGGCUACACGAAUAUUGACACUGAGGCACGAAAGCGUGGGGAUCAAACAGGAUUAGAUACCCUGGUAGUCCACGCCCUAAACUAUGGAUACUCGACAUACGCGAUACACAGUGUGUGUCUGAGCGAAAGCAUUA
Molecule: ribosomal RNA, 526 nt
Filed under: uncultured bacterium
Lineage: Bacteria
Description: bacterial SSU rRNA
Rfam family: Bacterial small subunit ribosomal RNA
Source: RNAcentral